UUGUACAGGGCUGGCAGAGGAAAGUUUUCAGCUGCGGCCAUCACUACCGAUGAUUAUCUUCCGAUGCGAAGUACUGAAGUGAAAAAUCGGACAUCAGUAGAUGGAAUCAAAAGUCUCAGACUAAUCACAGCAGUCAAAACCCCCUAUUUGCCAGAUGGAAGAUUUGAUCUUGAAGCAUAUGAUUCUUUGAUAAACACACAGAUAAAUGGGGGCGCCGAAGGUGUAAUUGUUGGUGGAACAACAGGAGAAGGUCAUCUUAUGAGCUGGGAUGAACACAUCAUGCUCAUCGGGCACACUGUUAACUGCUUUGGAACUAACAUUAAAGUGAUAGGCAACACGGGAAGUAACUCAACUAGAGAAGCUAUUCACGCUUCAGAGCAGGGAUUUGCUGUUGGCAUGCAUGCAGCUCUCCAUGUCAAUCCUUACUAUGGGAAGACCUCAACUGCAGGACUGAUCUCUCAUUUCGACGAAGUCCUCCCGAUGGGUCCAACAAUCAUCUACAAUGUGCCAACUGGUCAGGAUAUACCCCCUGCAGUCAUUGAGGCACUCUCAAGUUAUCCAAACAUGGCAGGAGUGAAAGAAUGUGUUGGACAUGAACGGGUGAAGUGCUACACUGACAAAGGUAUAUCAAUAUGGAGUGGCAAUGAUGACGAAUGCCAUGAUUCAAGGUGGAAACAUGGUGCUACUGGAGUCAUUUCUGUAACUAGCAACCUUGUUCCUGGCCUCAUGCGCAGUCUCAUGUUUGAAGGGGAGAACACAACGCUAAAUGAGAAGCUACUGCCUCUGAUGAAAUGGUUAUUUUCUGAGCCAAAUCCGAUUGGUGUCAACACUGCACUGGCUCAGCUCGGUGUAGUGAGGCCUGUUUUCAGGAGACCAUACGCCCCUCUUUCUCUUGAAAAGAGGACCGAGUUUGUCCGGAUUGUUGAAGCAAUCGGGCGGGAGAACUUUGUGGGACAGAAAGAGGUGCGGGUUCUGGAUGAUGAUGAUUUUGUGUUGAUCAGUAGGUAUUAA
Molecule: ribosomal RNA, 1011 nt
Filed under: Triticum aestivum (bread wheat)
Lineage: Eukaryota; Viridiplantae; Streptophyta; Magnoliopsida; Poales; Poaceae
Description: partial small subunit ribosomal RNA
Source: RNAcentral